GAACACCUUGGAGAAAAGAGAGGUCCUGGUCGUUUUCUGACGCUGAGACGGGAAAGAUAGGGGAGGGGCAGGGAGUAUAUGCUCCCGUAGUAGUAGCUGCAUCGAUGGGCAGUAGGUAGGGGUCUCCCCGAUGGGCUCUCUUCCGUAGGGAAACGGUGAAGUGCCCCGCCUGGGGAGUAUGGUUGCAAGGAUGAAACUCAAAGGAAUUGACGGGGGCUCACACAAGCGGUGGAGCAUGUGGCUUAAUUUGAGGGUACGCGAAGAACCUUAUCCUGGGCUUGACAUGCAUGGAUUAGCCGGCGGAAACACCGGUGUCACCCCAAGGUGGAACAUGCACAGGUGCUGCAUGGCUGUUGUCAGCUCGUGCCGUGAGGUGUUGGGUUAAGUCCCGUAACGAGCGAAACCCCUGUGAUCAGUUGCCAGCGAGUCAAGGCGGGGACUAUGAUCAGUCCGCCGGCGUUAAGCCGGAGGAAGGCGGGGAUGACGUCAAGUCAUCAUGGCCCUUAUGCCCAGGGCUGCACACGUGCUACAAUGGGACGGACAGAGCGUUGCCAGGCCGCGAGGCCGCUCCAAUAGCAAAAAUCGUCCCCCAGUUCGGAUUGCGGGAUGCAACCCGCCCGCACGAAGCUGGAAUCGAUAGUAAUCUCCGAUCAGCACUGCGGCGGUGAAUGUGUUCCUGAGCCUCGUACACACCGCCCGUCAAGCCACCAAAGCGGGGGGCAUUCGAAGUCGUCGGAGCCGCAAGGCAGGCGCUGAAGAUGAAACCCGUGAUGGGGAUUAAGUCGUAACAAGGUAACC
RNAcentral lists this ribosomal RNA (798 nucleotides) under uncultured soil bacterium. Its description in RNAcentral is "bacterial SSU rRNA". It matches the Rfam family "Bacterial small subunit ribosomal RNA", at positions 704 to 1501 of the family's 1533-position model. The record is from RNAcentral.